AAAAGCACAAAUCAUUUCACCAUUUCUAUCACAAACUAGCUCACAGAAAUUACAAAACCAUUCAAGCUAAGGUUUUAAUAUUCUCUAUUGUAAUUAAUUGUUUGUGAUGGCCGCUUCAAAGGCUUUAGCCUCGACUUCUCUUCUCCUGAUUCUAAACCUUCUCUUUUUCACUUUGGUAACCUCUACUGAUCAUCAUUCCUCAUGCCCACCACCACCUGCACCAAAACCAAAAUGCCCACCGUCACCGAAACCUAUAUCUCCACCAACAAAAAUCCCACCGUCACCGAAACCUAUAUCUCCACCAAAAAGCCCACCGUCACCCACACCGAAACCGAUAUCUCCACCACCACCCAAGAAGGAAACUUGCCCUAUAGAUUCCCUAAAGUUGGGUGUUUGUGCUAAUGUGCUCGGUGGCCUUAUCGGUGCUAUCAUUGGAACCCCUCCUAAGGAGCCAUGCUGCAGCCUUCUUAAUGGUCUUGUUGAUCUUGAGGCCGCUGUUUGCCUUUGCAUCGCGAUCAAAGCUAAUAUUUUAGGUAUUAAUCUUAAUGUUCCUGUUGAUUUGAGCUUGUUGCUAAAUUACUGUGGAAAGAAGGUUCCCACCGGUUUCCAAUGCCCGUAAACUACUAGCGUUAUUUCCCCCUUGAGUUUUGUUUUAUAUAUUUUCCCUUUGUAGUGUUAUAAUGAGUGUUGCUUGAGUUAUUGUACUGUCAUAGAUAUUUCAAUUAACAUUUGUAUCUAUGCGAUGUAAUGACUGGAAUAAAGGAGGAAGGCAAUUAGCCUUCUUUCAUUUCUGUUGUAUUCUAUUUGAUCCGUUCAAUAUAGAAUGAUAUGUUUCACAUACCUAAGUGUUGAUAAAUUAUGUAUUCGAUCUAUAGAUUUAUGAACACCUGCAUGCUUACUAAGAUUAGUCUAUAGUAUGGGAGAAGUAUUGAUUCUUACAGGGAGCAUCCAUGCUCUUUUUGAAUUAUUAUAAAAAAAAUAAAAUUGUGGCAAUUAACCACAACCAUGAAGACACACACACACACACACACAUAUAUAUAUACACACACACACACAUGCACAUACAUACACACACACAUAGCACAAAUAAAUACAUAGGAGUACAUUUAUAGUCUAGGACUUUGUAGAAUGAGGAAAGUAGAUCCCAGAAAUGGUGAGGAAGAAUCUCAUCAACUUUAAUUUAUUCCGUGGAAAAUAUAAAUUGAUUCUCAAACCCUUAUUAAAGUAAAAAUAUAUCUAUGCAUGGACUGCUUAAUUUUGAUGUAAGGUUAUCUUUAAGCUUAAAUAUAAAUCCUUUUAAACACGACUAUGGUGAUCCAGAUCAAUAACAAGUUGGCCAUGGCCUAUUAUGCAACUUCAUUAGACUUGCUAUUAUACUGUCUCUCUCCCCACGCGCACGCAUCUCAUAAAUAGAUCAUAUGAUCAUAUGUACAAAUUUUGUCGAUAUGCGAAUUAAGUUCAUAAUGAAUUAUAUGUAGCUUCUUAUCCAACAAGACAAACCAGAAAAUAAUAACAAUAACAAUAAUAGUAAUUUACAUUUGCUACCAAGUAAAAUAUUACAACAGCAAUAAUAAUAAUUAACAGAUGUAGCAUAAUUAUGGAGGAUUAUUGUUUGUAAUAUAUACAGGUAAUUGUGAUAUUUGGGAAUAAUGACCACCGAAUCGACUGUAGCUAGUACAUGAAUUUGGGACGGUCACACUAUAAUUAUUUUCUUGUAAAUAUAUUUAUGCUAUUUCUUGUAAAUAUAUUGGAAUAAUUAUAACUACAAAACCCAAACUUUUUAAUUAAAGUAGUUAGUUUGGUGAAGUUUGAGCGAUGUACGUAUCAAGAAGUAUAUUCACCAAAUGGGAGAACGCUAGGAUUGACUCAUACUUUAUGUGAAUCCGACUAAUGACCACUACGAUAGAGUAGUCGAGGGUCUCAAAGUCAAUCACAAUUGUGUAAUCGGGAUUAGGAAUUUAUUAAUAGUCCGACCUUGAGUUUUACUAAUGUAUUGGGUUUGAACUCAUGCUAUAUUAGUUAGGGUUUUCUAGUUACUAUAAAUAUUGUUUGGUGCGUGAAUCAUUGUAGAGCGUGUAAGAUAUUUAAUAAAUACAUCAGACAAACAUGAUAUGUAACCAACUCAUCUAACAACUUAAGUUAUUAGAUGGAGGGCCCAACAAUGUAUAUCAUGCUAACACUCCCCCUUAAAUGUAACUUUUUAUAUUAGGUGGAGGGUUUAACAAUAUAUAUCAUGCUAACACUCCCCCUCAAAUGCAACUUUUUAUAGAGAAUAUAGAAAUUAAAACACAUUUGCACUAUUAAAUUAAUAUAAAGACAAUUGUGCAGCUGUCAAAUCCCAAAAUUUUGCACACCCAGAACUCUAAUACUAUGUUAAGUAACCAACUUAUCUAAUAACUUAAACUAUUAGAUGGAUGACCCAGCAAUGUAUAUUAUGGUAACACAUGACUAGCCAAAUUGGUGAACCUGAGUAUAUCAUGUGGCUGUUAUUUUUCGUUCUUCAUCUAUUUUUCUAUAAAAUUAUUGUGUUAAAUAAUUUUAUAUAUAUAUAUAUAUAUAUAUAUCAAGCAUGAUCAAGUGGCAAUAGUUUUUCCUAUUGGAGACUUAAUACUGUGUGCAAUUUUUAUGCUUGGUUUGUAAAGAUGCUUCAUUUUCGCCUCGAAGAGAAGUAAUAAUCAAACGUGCCAAGAAGUUGCAAAUACCGGGCAUUUUUAGAUCAACAAGGGGAUAAAUAACGUUUUGGUCAUUGUACUGGGGUCCGGUUUUUAUUCUGAUAACCGAAUUUUUUUUUGUUACAAUCGAAUUACUGUACUCUCAUAUAUUACAAAAUGGUCACUAAUUUAACUUUCCGUCCAAAAGUCAGACGGAAACCGUGAGUGUGCAAGCUGGCAUGAUGACUGUGCAAGCUGGUCCCAUUUUUUGCUUACAUGGAGCACAGAAAAUGCAAGGAGAUAGAUUAUUAUAGUACAAACCACCAAAACUAUUAACUACUUCACCUAAAGAAUUCCAAAACUAAUAAUAAUAAUAAUAAUAAUAAUAAUAAUAAUAAUAAUAAUAAUAAUAAUAAAAUACUAUUAAUAGUAAUAAUUUUAAAAUUCUGUUUUUAAUUUAUUUUUUUNNNNNNNNNNNNNNNNNNNNNNNNNNNNNNNNNNNNNNNNNNNNNNNNNNNNNNNNNNNNNNNNNNNNNNNNNNNNNNNNNNNNNNNNNNNNNNNNNNNNNNNNNNNNNNNNNNNNNNNNNNNNNNNNNNNNNNNNNNNNNNNNNNNNNNNNNNNNNNNNNNNNNNNNNNNNNNNNNNNNNNNNNNNNNNNNNNNNNNNNNNNNNNNNNNNNNNNNNNNNNNNNNNNNAAAAUUCUGUAUUUAAAAAAGAAAUCAAAAAUUCUGUAUUUAAAAAAGAAAUUAACGUUUUUCAAAAAGCUGUUUUUCAAAAAUUCUGUAUUUUAAUGUUUUUUAAAAAAGAAAUUAUGUUAAAAAAAAUCUGUAUUUAAAAAAGAAAUUAUAAAUUAAGAAUUAUAAUUUUUUUAAAAAAAUUCUAUUUUAAAAAAAAUAGAAUUUUUUAAAAACAGACUUUUUUAAAAACACAGAUUUUUUUAAAAAAUAUCUUUUUAAAAAAAACAGAUUUUUAAAAUGUUAAUUUUUUAAAAAAACGUUAUUUUUUUAAAAAAUUCUAUUUUUUAAAAAAUAGAUUUUUUUUAACAACAGAUUUGGUCAUUUUAAAAUUCUGUUUUUUUAAAAAAGCCGUUUUUUUAAAAAAGCCGUUUUUUUAAAAAAAUCUGUUUUUUAAAAAAGUCACAUUUAAAAAAAAAAGAAGCUGUUUUUUAAAAAAAAAUUAUAUUUUAAAAUUCUGUAUUUUAAAAAGCUGUCAUAUAUAUUAAAAUUUUGUUAUCAAUUUGAUAACAAAUUGAUAACGUGGUCAGUCAAUUUGUUAUAUAUAUUAAAACGUGGUCAGUCAAAUUUUGUAAUCAAUUUAAUAUAUUUUUAUUAUUUUAUUAAUUUAAAUUAUUUUAGUAAGGGUAAAUUUGACAAAUUAUUUUUUAUUCUGCAUUAAAAUAAAAAAACAAAUUAUUAUUAUUUAAAAAUUAUUAUUAUUAUUAUUUUGAAAUUAUUAUUAAUACUAUUAUUAUUAUUAUUAGUAUUUUAUUAUUAUUUUGAAAUUAUUAUUAUUAUUAUUAUUAUUAUUAUUAUUAGUUUUGGAAUUAUUAAGGUGAAGUAGUUAAUAGUUUUGGUGGAAUUUUGGAAUCUGUCUCUUUUCAUUUCCUUUGCUCCACGUAAGCAAGCUUGCACAGUCAUCAUGUCACUCACGAUUUCCGUCUGCUUUUUGGACGGAAAAUAAAAAUAAUGACCAUUUUGUAAUAUGUGAGAGUACAGUAAUUCGAUUGUAAGAAAAAAAGUUUCGGUUACCAAAAUAAAAACCAGACCCCAGUACAGUGACCAAAACGUUAUUUAUCCCGAUCAACAAGUGAUAAUUUUCUUAUUGUGAGAGGAAAUUGACAAGUAAUAAAAACUCAGAAAACUCCAAAUUCCAUAAAGAAUCACAUCCUACAAGUGCAACGCCAACUUGUCUCAAAUAAAGCAAAUUUCCAACCAAAUGUAUUCACAUGGGUCUCUAUAAUUAUUUCUUAAUCUUCUUGAUAAAAAAACCAAACUUUCCAUCUAUAAUAAGCAUUAUUCAUUUCACCAUUUCCAUCACAAACUAGCUCACAGAAAUUACAAACCAUUCUAGGUUUUAAUAUUCUUUAUUGUAGUUGUUUCUGAUGGCUUCAAAGGCUUUAGCCUCAACUUCUCUUCUCCUAGCCCUAAACCUUCUUUUCUUCACUAUGGUCAGUUGUACUCAUCAUACCCCAUGCCCACCACCGCCUGUACCGAAACCAAAAUGCCCACGGCCGCCUGCACCAAAACCGAUAUGCCCACCGUUAGGCCUGAUAAAAUAUGGUUAUGAAUUAGUUUUGAUUUUCAAAAUAUGGUUAUGGUUCCAUUUAAGAACUAAAAUCAUAUUAACCAUUUUUAAUAUGAGUUGUGUGGGUUGGAACUAUAUGGUUAUGGUUCAAAACCGUAUUAACCAUUUUAAGAUGUUUUGACUUUUAAACAAAAUUUUUGAAAAAUAAAAUUGUGACCGUCACAAUUAAAUUAAUUAAGUAAUAAUAUGAUACAAAAUUAUUAAUAUAAAUAAUAAAAUGCUAAAAAACUAUACUAAUAAAAUUUUAAAUUAAAAUUAUUAAUACCCUUCCAUAUUUAAAAUUCUUAAUGAUGAGGAACUGAGUUCAACCCCCACCCUCAAAUUAUCAAAUAAAUAAAUAAAUAAAUAAAAUUUGCAAUUCUAUCUUAUUAGUUUUUUACUUUAUACAAUUCUAUCAAAUAAAUAAAUAAAUAAAAUUAAUAAAUAAUAUUAGUACUUUAUACAAAUUUGUAAUAUAUAUUAUUUAAUCUUAGUAUUACUAAAUUAUUUUGUACAUAUUACUUAGUAACAUACCGUAUAUGUUCUGACUUUAGACUAAUUUAUAGUAAAUGUAAUGAGUUGCCCAAGGAUAAAUUAUUAAUUGUUUUUCAUUAAUUUCCUUUUGACGACCUUGAUCUUGUUGUACAGAAUUGUGAUCAUUUUCAGUCAUAUAAUACUGAAGACUUAUAUAUAUAUAUAUAUAUAGCCCGCCAGUCAUUUGGUUUGAUAAAUUAAAAUUAAAGAUCUCAUGAAAUUAAAUUAAUUAAAUCAAAUUAAAGAGAUUUUUCAAUUUUAUUACAGCAAAUAGGAAGGUAUCCGUGAAUCAUCGAGCCAUUAUUGCGGAGCAAAAUUUAAACUUAGCAUUAAAUAGAAACAUGGCAUUGACCCCCUGCACAUGCCACAUGGUAUAAAAUAUGAAUUGAAAAAUGAUUAACCGGUGGCCAUAUUGGCAUCGUUGUUGGAACCCCUCCUUAGGAGCCAUAUUGGCAUCGUUGUUGGAACCCCUCCUUAGGAGCCAUAUUGGCAUCGUUGUUGGAACCCCUCCUUAGGAGCCAUAUUGGCAUCGUUGUUGGAACCCCUCCUUAGGAGCCAUGCUACGGUCUUCUUAAAGGUCUUGUUGAUAUUGUAGCUGCUGUUUGCCUUUGCACCGCGAUCAAAGCUAAUGUUUUGGGCAUUAACCUUAAUGUUCCUGUUGAUUUGAGCUUGUUGCUUAAUUACUGUGGAAAGAAG
RNAcentral lists this long non-coding RNA (6164 nucleotides) under Panax ginseng (ginseng). RNAcentral's name for it is "long non-coding RNA (PGIN_LNC009669)". Lineage: Eukaryota; Viridiplantae; Streptophyta; Magnoliopsida; Apiales; Araliaceae. The record is from RNAcentral.